GGCAGACGGGUGAGUAAUGUAUAGUUAAUCUGCCCUUUAGAGGGGGAUAACAGUUGGAAACGACUGCUAAUACCCCAUACUCCUUUUAUCUUAAUGGUAAUUGGGAAACGUUUUUUCGCUAAAGGAUGAGACUAUAUGGUAUCAGGUAGUUGGUGGGGUAAGAGCCUACCAAGCCAAUGACGCCUAGCUGGUCUGAGAGGAUGAUCAGCCACACUGGAACUGAGACACGGUCCAG
RNAcentral lists this ribosomal RNA (235 nucleotides) under uncultured bacterium. RNAcentral describes it as "partial 16S ribosomal RNA". It matches the Rfam family "Bacterial small subunit ribosomal RNA", at positions 97 to 334 of the family's 1533-position model. The record is from RNAcentral.